RNAcentral lists this long non-coding RNA (11250 nucleotides) under Equus caballus (horse). Its description in RNAcentral is "lncRNA (ENSECAG00000060009.1)". The record is from RNAcentral. Lineage: Eukaryota; Metazoa; Chordata; Mammalia; Perissodactyla; Equidae.
GUGUUGUCUCCUCUCCUCUGAGUGUUACUGUCCAGUUUUAUGGGUUGUCUCAUAUUAAGUGCUGUUGGCCACAUUGCACAGAAAGUCAGACCAAGCAGGGAGAGGUUGCUUGGGCCAGGCGGAAGAAGCCCGCUUUGUUGACGCCAACCAUGGAGCUCUCAUCCCCCAACCAGGAGCCCUUCCGGGGGCAGAGCUCUGAAGGAGUGGAGGGUGACCUCUGGAAGAACGCCCAUGAGAAAACCGGGAACCAGACCCUCUUCAGAGAAUGUUUGAGAGGUGAGGUAGGGGAUGAGAACGCUUCCAGUAGAUGCUCAGCAGCUCUAAGUGAUGACGCAACCUGGAGAGGAAGCUUUAAGGGGUUUGGAAGCUCCCUUCUCACCAUCUCAGGAGAGCCAGACUGCCACGCCUCGAGGUGAGGUUGGGGGGUCUCGAAACUUCAUGUGUCUUCUCUUCUCCUGGCUGAGCCUCAAAAUCCCUUUUUGAAAUGCAACUGCAGAAGGAAAUGCUCAAGCUGUUUUGAGCCCUUUACUGUUUGGUGCAGAUGGGGUGACUAGAAGGACUGGGAGCAGGUUGUGAGGGGGCCUGGUGAGGACUGAGGGUGAGCUGCAGGCGUCCAGGAGCCCCCAGGGUCAAGGAAGGAAGAGAGUGGAGCCUGAGGAGACAGACCAUCUCUGCGACUUAGCUGGGGGAAGACCCCACAUUCAUAGAAAAAAAAACCCAAAUGCAUUUUAAUGUAUGCUGAAGUCAAGAGGACAGCAAACUCACUUAGAGAAGGACCCAGUGGAGGAGAUUGGAAGUGGAUAGUUCCAGUUAACAAGAACCUCUCUUUUUAAGUGAAACAAAGAACUUGAUGACUAUUUCCCUGAGGCUGAAGCACGGUCACCCACGUGGAAAGCUGUUAAGGGUGGAUGUAAGUAUAGUAUCUAGCUAGCUGGGGAUUGGCGUCAGAAGAUGAAAACUGUCUGUUUGUGGCAUGUGGCUGGAAAUGGCAUCUCCAAGUGACUCCUAAAACAGAAGUCCAGGUUCCAUGGACCAGAGGCCCUGGUGGGAUCGGGCCUGUCUGGGUCAGCUGAGACCGCCUCUCCUCCACAAUGGUGAUAUCUUAGAGCUCUCCUUGCCCUGACCUUAGGUCAGACAGCAGGUAAUUUGGAAGUAACUAUAACCCUAAGCUCUGCUAUGUUAAGCUUGGAGGAGGACCAAGAAUAGUCAUGAGGAAUCAGUGAGGUGUGAGGAGCCAGAGCCUGGGAACCAGCCAGUCAAUAAGCUGGAUGGGGAAGUGUGGGGAUACGGAAUUCUGGGAGGCUUGCUUCUGUCACUCGACUUCAAAAUGAGGGAAAAUGGCGCGCAGAUGUUUAUAGCAGCUUUAUUCAUAACCACCAAAACUUGGAAGCAACCAAGAUGUCCUUCAGCAGGUGAGUGGAUAAAUAAACUGUAGUACAUCCAGACAAUAGAAUAUUACUUAGCGAUAAAAAGAAAUGAACUACCAAGCCACAAAAAGAUACAGAGGCAUCUUAAAUGCUUAUUACUAAGUGAAAGAAGUCAAUCUGAAUGAGUCCAACUAUAAGCCAAUCUGUAUGAUUCCAACUACGUGACAUUCUGGACAAGCCAAAACUAUGGAGAUAGUAAAAAAUCAGUGAGUGCCAGGGGCUAGAGAGGAGGGAGCGGGAGGAGGUGAUGAGUGGACCCUAAUGUAAACUAUGGACUUUAGUUAAUAAUAAUGUAUUCGUAUUAGCUCAUAGGUUGUAAGAAAUGUACCAACACCAAUGCAAGAUGUUAAUAAGAGCGGAAACUGUGGAGGAAGGAGGAAGAAAUGAUUUCUGGAGACAUAAAAACAGCUUGCUAAUAGGUAGGAAAAGAUAGAGCCUGAAAUAGUAACACUUGGUUACUGGGUAACGCUGAGUAGCCAUCAUUGCAACGGUGCCCUCUCCCAAGCUCGGGAGUCCACAUGGUGCGACUCUGCUCUCACAGCAGAAAUCCAUCCUCCUUAAACAAUACUUCUCAGAGCUUCCAAAGACUGAAGAACGAAUGGUCAAAACACACGCUGACGGUGAGGAGGGCCAUCUGCAGAGAAUGGAUGGAGAGCUGUUGAACCACAAAAAUGAGAUUCUGGGCUCAGUGUUGUGAGAAUGGUCCAAUCAAAGAUUCCUGGCAAGUCACUCAGCCACAUCAAUGCUUGUCUUUGAACAUCUUCACCUCUAGUGUCUUAGGGGUUUGCUUUCCAUUCUCAGUGUAGAUGUUUCUCCUGGACUCUUCUCCACAAAUGUCACAGAGAAUGUCUCUUUUUUUGUUUAGAGAAAACCCAAUCUUACUUCUGGUCUGUAACUUUAGAAUCUUCCAAAAUUCUGGACAGUCUUCCUCCUGUGGUCUCACAACCACAGAGGGCUCAAGCUGGACUCUGGCUCUCAUCUUUGCAGCCACCCUGGCUCCUGUCCUCACCUAGGAUUAUCUUCCCCCACGUGCAAGUCUGGCCCAAGGUAGACCAACUUUCCUCCUACCCUCGCUGUGACACUUCAUCUCUGUGGCCCUGUCCCCAUCAAUCCAGUGCUCUUGUGCUCAGCAAUAAGACUUCAGGGAUAUAUGCCAUUUACAUAGAGCGCUCUCCCUGAUUCAGCUCUACAAAUUAAUUCAUCUGGCCUACAAAAUCAGGCUCUGCAGAAUCUGCAAAGAAAAAGAAUAGCCCUUUUUUGGGAACCUGGUUCUGAAGCCAAGAUGUAUGUAAAUUAAAUGAAUAGAGAACAAUUCCGAGCCAAGAUAAUAAACAGGGGCUUGGUGGUGAGAUACUGGCUGUGUGUGUGAGUGCCAAGAGAGUUCAAAGAAGGGAAUAGAUACUUGUGGGAAGGCCUUGUCAGUGACGACUUUUGGGAAAAACCAAUGUGUAAAAUCUAAUAGAAAACUUGUUUGGUCUACUGUACACACUUUCCGUGGUCCAGCAAAGUGAUUAAAAACAGUCAUGGUUUGAGUCUUCAGGAGACAAUAUGAUAAAAUAGUAAAACCAAUUGAGAAAAAAAAAAAAAAACAAGGAGAAAGUAAAGUAAUAGCAAAACAUUUCACCAACUAUCUAUUUGUUUCAAUUGAGUUAUUCAGUAUACUUUCCCCACGUUCUCUGAGUAUGAAGCUUUAAACCAGGCGAUUUCAGAGCACCUCUUCUGUUGUCCUUUCCUGCUCCUUUUGUCUUGCCUUAACUCCUGGUGGAGUUGGAAUACGAAAUUAACAGGAUAAAAAUAAAAGCAGGAAUAGGAAAGUAAAGUUACCAAACGUAAUAACUAAGGGAGUCUCAAGUAAGCUGUUGUAAGUGGCGCAGUUCUCAGGGCAGAUGUGGAGAAGUCAGAGGGAGGAAACAGGAAGAGGAAGAACCAUACCAACUAUGUGUUAAAACAAGUCACUGUCAACUCUGCAAAUGAACCGGUCAUCAGGAAGCUGAGGCCCGGCCAUAACCUCCGAAGGCUGAGAAACGACCAUGGACUCAGAACCCUGUUUAUGUCGUUAAUAUUCUCUCUUUGGAAAAGGAGGCUAAUAAUACCUCAUAGAGUAUUGUGAUGAUUAGAUAAUUGACACAUGUAAAGCACUUAGAACAGUGGCACAUAGUAAGUACUACAGGAUUGACUUUCAUUCUUCAUAUGUGAUAAAUACACGCAAAAGGUUAAGAAAGCAAACAAAAACCCAGUCCCUCUUAACAUUUGGUUGGUAUAUUAUUUUUAAGUAACCACAUAUUUGCUCUUUCCAAAAUAAAUGAUAACUAAGAUGGAAAAGAGACAGGUUAAAUGAAUGUUGGUCUGGGUUUAAUAACAAAUCCAUGUUUUUGUUCGGAUGAGGAAAUAAACCUUAAUAAUUACACUAAAAUGACCUUUGAUUGCCUGAUAUUAAGAUGUCCAAAACAGGCAAAUGUUCGACCUCUUUAAAAACACCAUAUUUUUUUCCUGAUGAAAGACUGGUUUAAGGAGAUAAACCAAUGUCACUAGAAAUAGGGGCUUGUUCCAUUAGAAAAACCUUCUUCCAACAUUGGAGCCAAUGUCCGAAUCUGCUGAAGAGUGAGUUGUUCAGAUCCUUGAGUUUCCCUGGGGCCCCGACAAGAGUCCUUGAGUCACACUAAGGCUCUCAGCUUGAUUUGAAUGGAUGUCCUUGCCAUAUAAUGGCCCCUGCUGGUCUGGCCACAUGCUGGAAGAUGCGUGAGAGAGAAGCAUUCCCUGAUGUACUCCUCCAAGACCGUGCGCUCUGUGGGGGAAAGGAAGAGUUGGCUGGAGAAUCCGCCAUCCUGACUAUUCAGAGGGGAACAUCCCCACGAUGGCCUCAUUGAAUUCUGCUUAUUCCCCUCCAGGAAACUGAAAAGUGGGGACACACACUAUCGUAGCUGCUGAAUGACAUCUCUUUCUAUUCCUCCAGCUCUCAACCUCUGUGAGUCUAAUGGGUUGUCCUGGUCCUCGGUUCCUCAUGGUGACCUUAGCAAGGGAGACCCUUCACAUCAUAUUCUAACCCUCGCUCUUCUUUAAAAAGACACUUCAGUUCCCCACAGCGACUUUUUCUCAAAGUACAGGAACUCUGCUUAUCCGAUUUCCUAGAGAUAUUCCUCAGGAAUAUUCCAGAGGCAAAUCUCCUGUUAAAUGGUGCUGGACAAGCGAACAGUAACCCAGAGAGUAGAGUCAGAGCUACGGCAUGGAGAAAAUUCAUCUCUGCAGAAGUUCAUGAGCCACGUGAGGUGAGGCGCAACUUUAGGGAAAAGAAGUCUGCUAAGAAAAAUGUACAGAGAAUUUAGGCCAAAUAUCACAAAGCCAAAAUUAAUUUUAAACUUUUUUUGUGUGUGAAAGUUGAAUGUUUAUGCAAAUAUCGUUUUUGAACUGAAGAACACACGCAGAAAGGCAAGGCUAGUAAUAACAGAAAAGAAAAGUCGAAGCAAUAAGUUUAUAGGUACCUGAUAAACAAUUCUGGUUUUGAAAAACAACUUGGAAUUCUUAAAAGUUAUGUCAACUUUUACAGCUUCAUGUGAUAUUCAUAGCAGAGGUAACUGCUUUUAUUUUCAAGUAUUUUUACCAUUAAUGACUACAUUCAUACAAAGGUAUGAAUUUUUAAAUUAUAAGAAACCCUUGGAAGAUAAUUUACUGUAGGUCUGUGGUGAAUCACGCUUCAAGGUGUGAAAAUGGUGUAUUUUUUCCAAUUUUUCUAUUUGGGCUAAACAAUUUUAGCACACAAACAUCAUCAUUAAUAGAAGGGAAAAAAUAAACGUUCCCUCCUAAAAAAGCAUGAGCCUGCUCAAUAAAUAAGAUCUGUUGUAAAAUUAAAAACCUGAUUUCAAGUCUGAGGAUGAAGUUGUAAAAAGUUGGCCACUUUUGAUUCUUAAGUGGGCCUUUGUAGCUGUUUUCUGAACCCCUGGAAUAAAGAGGGUUGAUUUGCGAUGGAAUCUCUGGAGCCUGCAGUCAUAUAUUACAAUAUGUUGUAAAUCCAGAGGGUACAAUAUAGAUUUCACAGGGGGCCCUGGGGUUAAUUGAAAUUCCAUCUGUUUCUUCUCUGUGGCAAACUUAGUAUCCUGGGACAUUAGCUCAGGAUAAGAUAUGCGAUUUCCAAUUUUUUAUUUUUAGGCUAAAGCAGAAGUUUGCCUAAAUCUGCUCUUCCCUACUUUCUACCUCCUACCUUCUAUUAGAAAAAAAAAGUUUACAAGACAGCUUUUAUUUUCCCCACAGCUGCCCCCGAGGCAGCCCUCCCCUCCUCCCAGUGCAUGCCGGGCAAUGCCAUGUAUUCUUAGGCUCCCAAUGGCCCCCAUUACUGUCAAUUAGUUACGGAAUGCUACAGGGAUUCAUGCCUGACAGCUCGGGCAAAGGCAGGAGAAAUGGGCUCAGUAGGGAGCGAGGGGCCUGAUUCUUUUUUGUGCACAAGAAAUACCUUUCUCAGCAAGGCUUUUAAUGGCCUUCCCUUCUUUCUUUCCCUCUGCCCUAGCGCCGCGCCCCCCACCAUCCCAGCACACAUCAUAUACACAUACGCUCCUACAUUCACACACCGACGUGUUUGUGUGACUAUCGCACAGGACUGUGAGAACUCUGAGAGCAGGAGCCUCUGAAGUGGCCUUGUAACCUCUGCCAAUUACAGAGCUUUAAAAUUCCAACUUCUAUCUUUGCUCUAAUCUGAUUCCUCACUUCCUCUCCUCAGAAGGUUUCUUGUUACUAAGUGCCUUUUUCGCCUCUGGCUUAUUAGCGUAUUUUCCUUCUGGAGCUCUCUUCCCUCCAAAGAACAAAUGCCCUCUCUCUUUGGCCGCAGGCCCUGGGGAGGAAGCCCACUGCACGGUGCUGGCUGGGGCUGGGGCAGUGGCUUGUUGUUGGCAUCCCAUACGAUUCCCAUGUCCUUCUGACUUCUUUCUCUACCUCUUGCCUUCCUCUCCUCUACUUUCCCGCAUCGAGUCCUCUUCUUCCUCCUAUCUGUGCCUAGACUAUUCCACUUACUCUGCAGACUUGAGGCCAGGGAUUUUGUUUUAUUUGUUUUCGUUCUCUCUCUCUCUCUCUCUCCUUCCUUCCCCACGCCAAAUGUUUAUCAUAACAGGACAAAAGACUUUGUCUUGUUCACCAACAUAGCUGUACUCCAUAGAAUAGCACCUGGCACAAGUAGAAACUCAAUAAUAUUUGUUGCAAAUGGAUGCCUGAAUAAAGAAACUAAUGCCAUUGGUGGUUCUCAGGGUUAAGGAGAACCCAGUUCACACCAAAAUGGUUUGCCUGUUCUUUAUCUGCUGUCUUUGCUCUUUUAUAUGAGUAGCAAUUUUUUCUUACUGUUCAAAAUGAAGAUAUACUUAGGAAAAGCCUUGUAGGAAAAGAACAGAUCCCGAUAGGAAAUAACAACUACAAGGCUUAAAGUGCUUCCAUUUCUCCACAUGGCUUUGAGGAACAUGACAGAGUAAAGAUGGCAGAAGAUGACCACUAGAGGAAAACACUCUCUGGGGCAACACGCCUGGGUUAUACGUGGUUCCAGUCCCUUCCUCUCCAGGGGCCUGGCCUGGUGUGGGGUGUUGAGAGGAGUGAAUGACUGGAGGAAGACAGUCCAGCCUGCCUAAUGCAGCCAUCUCUAGAAGGGUGAGGGGAAGGCCCAGGAAGAGGGCAACAGGACAGAAACAAGUGAGGGCCAGAGGGUGGAGUGCACACCUUGGAGGGAUUUCCUGAGCCGAGAGUUAGGCUGCAGGCCUCUCUUUCAGGGCUUGUAUAGUCUUGGGCAUUAUUAUUGGGUGGACACUGCUCAGAGCAGGACUCUGGUCCACAAAAUGCAGGUAUCUUAUAUCAUCACCCAUCACUGUGCACAUAUUGCUUUAAGAUUCGUGCAGAAUCGUCAAGCUUCACAUUCAUGCCACCUGAGAUGGAUUUCCAGCGCUGUCUGGUUCCCAAAUCUGUUUUAUUUCAGUGCUUUUCAAACUUUAAUGUGAAGUGAAUCACCUAACGGUCUCAUGAAAAUGCUGAUUCUGAGGAGCGUCCUGAGAUUCUGCGUUUCUAACAAGCUCCCAGGUGAUGGCGCUGUUGCUGGUCCACGGACAAUGAGUCGCAAGACACUAUUUCACCAUCACGGCGAGAACUGGAGAGAGCUUUGUGAAGAGGGAUCCACGCUAACCUGAAUUAAAGAAGCAAAAGUCUCAUUAAUAAAGAUUUUGAUCCCUAAGAUAAGAAAAAAAGACAUUUAUAUCUAGAAUCUCAUAUCUUUCCUUUUUGGUAAGUGAGUGUAGGAGGUACUUGGAAAUAGUCAAUUAACUCAUAAUUUAGAUAUGCUAAAGUUGUUUGCCCAGUGUAAAUUUCAUUUUUUUCUAUACAUUUGAAUCAGAUUCUAUUACAAAAUUUAAUUUUUUUUUUUUUUUUUGCUUUUAACAGUGGAGUUACUUUAGUGUGAAGAAAGAAAUUAGCCAUUGUAUGAUAAGUGAGGUUAUUUGGAAGAGAAUAUGACUAGCUGUCUACCUUGCUUCUUUCCUAUCUGCUGAAGAGGCAAAAAAAAAAAAAAAAAAAAAAAAAAAGAGGUACACACAGUUCCAUGGGCAGCCAAUAAAUAAGAUUGUGUUUGGGAAGAGGUACAACAGAAUCCCCCACUGCACACAGUUGCUCCUACUCUAGGUGUCUGCUGUCACAAACACAGAGGCUGACGACUCGAUUUACUGUGGUAACUUGUAUUUAUAAAUCCACGGAAACUCAGAAGACAACAGCCAGCAUUUACUAAGUCUGAGCUAGGCGCCAGUUGGGGGUCCCGAUCCAAAUGGAGCAAACAAUCUGGUCAGGAAGAUAACAUAAGGAAAAUUAAGCAUUAAAUUAAAACGUAAACUGUAAUUUUACAUAAUUUCACAAACUGCCAGGAGUUUACGGGAAUUAAACGGCGUUUUUAUGGGAAGAAGACAUUAACUUAGAUGGAGAAGGUCAAGGAAGGUUUUCUGAAAGGCAGGAUUUGAAUUGGAAUUUGAAGAAAGGUUAGGUGAGGAGAGAUGGGAACAAGAUGGAUGAGUGUAUCAGGACGGACAAAACAGUUGUGUGCAUACAAGAGAACAUAAGUGUUUGGGAGCUUAUGAGCAGAACCGUUUGCUGGAGUGAUUUAUUUAUUUAACGGAAACAUGGUAGAGGGAGAAAUGGUGGGAAAACAAAGUCGGGAUUAGAUUAAGAAAGGUCUGAAUGUUAGGCUAAGAAGAUUGGACUUGAUUCUGUAAAUAAUAAUAAUAAUAAUAGGGGACCAUUGGAUGUUUUGAGUAGAAGAGUGCAUUUUAACAGAAGUAUUUUAAUAGACUAAUUUCAAUAGUCCAAGUGCAAGGGAUAAGGGACAGAAUUAGGACUGUGGUGAAGGGAAUUGAAUAUGUGAGCUAGAGGGUUGAGCUAAAGGAAUCAGAAACUUUAAUGAUAUUAUAGUUAAUGGGUGGGCAGUAACCUUGAGGCUUGAGGUUAGUAGAAUAGAAAAUGAACAGUUUGGGGGGAAAUAAAUUAAAUUUGAGAUAUUUUAAGUUUUAAGUAAUAGUAGGACGGACACCUGGAAGAAUCCAGUAGACAACUGGAAGUGUGACAGUGUGACCCUGCCUAGAGGUAGUCAUGCCUGGAGCCUUGGGUGUGAAAGACUCUGCUAGGGAACCGCGCAGAGACAGAACCUUGGGCAGUGCCCCUUUGGGCAGCCUGGGUGGGGAAAGAGCAGUAAGAAGGAAGAGGAACCCAGAGUGUGACAGCCUUGAAGGGAAGAGGGAGCGUCAGGCCAGGGGCUGCGGCCACAGCAUUGAACGCUGCAGAGAAACCAGACCAUCUGAUCAAGGGAAGGUUCUUCAAGGCUCCUGGCACCUUUCCCAGCGUGGACAACAUGGAGGGAGGGGUGGAAACCAGGUGACUGACGAGACUGAGGGGUGAGCAAGUCACAACAAAGGUAGAAUUUGUGGACAUUUCCUUAGACAAAAGAAAAAAUAGGAUGGAAACUGAAGGAGAAAGGAAGAGCAAGUGCUUUUGUUGAUUUUCAAUUUAUUAUAGUGGCGACACAGCUUUCUUUGUUUUUUGAUUAAGGGGGAAAAAUGAGAGAAAAAUUGAUGGUAUCUAAAAACUGCAGACGGACGGGAAUUUGAGUUGUUAAAAUCCUGAAGGAGUCAGGCCCUCUGGGAAAGGGGUGAGCCUUGGAAAUGAGAAAGGAAAACCCCCCACACCAAAAACAACCCAGAACACCACUGCCUCCACAUAUCUGGAAGAAGAGGGAUGCAGAGAUGCAGUACUCAGGCUCCUGGGGGUCCCACCAGCUCAAUAAAGAAGCAGGUGAGACAGUUUUCAAGCUCUGGGCCUGGAGGUGAAGUGGAAGAAUGGAGAAUGUUGGGACAGGCCAUUGAAUCAGGAAAUUGGCAAAAGGUGAAUAAAGAGCAUUGCUAAACAACAGUUGAGAUGAGCAUGAAUACACCAAGUAAGCACAAACACACACCUAAGGACAGUGGUCGUGACUCAGGGAUGUGGAACCAGCGCAAGAGACUGAGGGACAUGAGGUGAGCGCCAGGAUGCAAGUGCUGAGGGCAACACCCAGGUGGCUGGCAUCAAGUCCACCUAGGGUUAAUACAACUCAAGUGGGAUGAUCCAGACACCAUAGCAUAUCAACAAGAGGAAGAUGAUUAAGAAUGGCGAACAAAAACAACUGAGAGACUAUUUCAACUCUGAGCAUCCCAAUUUAAAAGGCACUUGUUGGGGAUCAAGCAAAGGGCAAUAACGUACUGAGCACCAUGUGCUCAGCACUGGGCUUGGGCAUGUUGGGGAUACACAGAGGCAUGAGGCAGUGUUCCUGCCCUCAGGGAGCUUUUGUGUAGUUGGAGAGAGGACACAGGCAUCUCACAUCCUCUGAGCACAUCCACAUUGUGCAGUAGAGACAGGACUUUAAAGACGGUGAAGAAGAGCUGGUUGGAGCAGAGCCGUUGAGAAGUGGCCAGGGUGGCAGAACAGGAGUCGUCCUCUCUCCUACCUUCUUCACAUCUUCUCUUCUAUUCACAUCCAAGCCACAUAGCUGCACCUCCAAGAGAUUGGAAAUGGAGACAAGAAAAGGGUAACUGUGACUUUCUUAUCAUGUGAGAGAGCCCUGAAAGCUUCACUCCCCUCCCUGCUCAGAAAGAUUUGAAGGCAACACUCAUCUUCCUUCUGUGCCCCAUGUAGGGCAUUUCGCUCAUCAGGGCAAGCUGUGUUGAGAGGAAGAAAUGAGAUCUGUGAGAGGUGAGAAGUCUGGCAUCUUUUUUUAUAAAAAAAAUUUAUUUAUUUGUUUCCCCUCCCCUGUUAUAUUGAGAUACAAUUGACAUAUAACACUGUAUAAGUUUAAAGUGUACAACAUAAUGAUUUGACAUAAGUAUUUAUUGUAAAAUGAUUGCCAGAAGAUUAAACAUUCAUCACCCCACAUAGUUACAAUUUCUUUUGCCCCUUGUGAUGAGAACGUUUAAGAUCUACUCUCUUAGCAACUUUCAAAUAUACAAUACAAUAUUGUUAAAUACUGACAUCACGGAGUCCUUGAUGAGCAGGAAGCAGCCGGGAGCCACGCCGCAGCUCACAGCCACUGAAAGCACGGCUGCCCUUGGAGCAUUCCUAUGGGCUGUGGGGAGGUCUGCUCCUUGAGCGCUCCCUCACUGCUAUCCCCACUCCUGGGGUCUGCCCUGACUUCAGAGCAUGCUGUUCAGAUCAUUCAAGCCUGGGGAGGAACUCUGGACCUGCCACUUACCAGCUAUGUGACCUUGGGCAACUUGCUUAAGACAACUGAGUCUCAUUUCCCCCUCCAAUGGGGUAAUAAUUCUUGUAGGAAAAGUGUGUGGCACUAAGCAACUGC